AGNNNGAACCUAGCGGUCGGCGAUUGCGACGAAGUCGUAACGGGGUAACCGUAAAGAACAGGCGGGUGAUGUGCCCUGCGCUCUGGAAUAAACCUGCCGCACUGGUGCUGAUAUGGGAUUUGAGCUCCUGUCGAAUGCACGGGGUUGAAAAGGUUAACUGGAUCCGGAUGGACACGCGCUUUAUCAGAUUUGCUCCAGCUCAAAUGGUCUACCCCCUCUACGACGGCCAUUGUGCCUGGUAUGAAGACCUGGCACUCUGGGACUGAAAGACUUGCCAUACUCCUAACCUUCCUCCGAGUUGACAAUAUUGGUCUCCUGCGAGUCCCCUGAUUUACGCGCUGGCGUGAGGGAUGAGGGUUUUCCUCUUGUGAACCUCUUUCCCAACAUCUAACGACAGAGUGACGACGACUGCCAUGCACCCCCCGUAUACCUACCUGCCAGGGGGCCGUAUCUCUCCUACUUUGCGAGCGUUGUCCGGAAUUACUGAGGUUCUUCGAGGUCGCAGGAAUUUGUCCACGUGCUCCGCCGCUUGUGCGGCUCCACCCCAAUUCUUGUUGAGUAUACGCCUUGACUUGAACUCUGCCAGGGGAGACUGCUUAUUCCUGGUGUAUACGGUGAAAUAUCCAGAGAAAAGGAGGAACACCUAGCGCCCAGCGUUUACUCUGGGGACUAACUGAGGCUGAGGACCUGAUCGCUACGUACGCAUUCGGUCCUCAUACUCUGUUACUGCCCGGAGAAACGCCUUCNCCCUAGGUGGUUCCUCCUGAUCCCUGGGCAUCGCACCGCUACACAAGGAAUACCAGUCCCGCCUGGAGAGCUACGGCCCCGCCCGUAUAACUCGAAAGAAUUGGGGUGGAGCCCCACUUGUCGCGGACCACGCGGAAUAACUCCGAGCAGCUCUUUAAACCUAACAUUGCUUACAAUGCUCGCACCAUACGUAUACUACG
This 947-nucleotide ribosomal RNA is filed under the name Rhodococcus sp. 501. Its description in RNAcentral is "partial 16S ribosomal RNA". The record is from RNAcentral. Lineage: Bacteria; Bacillati; Actinomycetota; Actinomycetes; Mycobacteriales; Nocardiaceae.